RNAcentral lists this ribosomal RNA (406 nucleotides) under uncultured bacterium. Its description in RNAcentral is "partial 16S ribosomal RNA". It matches the Rfam family "Bacterial small subunit ribosomal RNA", at positions 30 to 526 of the family's 1533-position model. The record is from RNAcentral.
AUUGCACGCUGGCGGCAGGCCUAACACAUGCAAGUCGAACGAGUGGCGGACGGGUGAGUAAUGUCUGGGAAACUGCCCGAUGGAGGGGGAUAACUACUGGAAACGGUAGCUAAUACCGCAUACCAUCGGAUGUGCCACGAGGGGCUUGGCUAGUAGGUGGGGUACCGGCUCACCUAGGCGACGCUCCCUAGCUGGUCUGAUAGGAUGACCAGCCACACUGUAACUGGGACACUGUCCAGACGCCUACGGGAGGCAGCAGUGGGGAUGAUUGCAAAAUGGGCGCAAGCCUGGUGCAGCCAUGCCGCGUGUAUGAAGAAGGCCUUCGGGUUGUAAAGUACUUUCAGCGAGGAGGCGUUACUCGCAGAAGAAGCACCGGCUAACUCCGUGCCAGCAGCCGCGGUAAUAC